UCAGUAGAUCGAAUUGCUAGUUUGCUGCAACUUGAGAGUUGUACCGUUGGUAGCCGCGUGAGUGGUUUGGACAUGUUGUUGAUCUGAAGCAAGACCUGAUUCCUGCUAACUUAAUCUGCCCCUUUUUGUUUGAUAAUAUGGUGUAGUAUUACGAAGAUUACUAGUUGGAUCCAUAUACCACUGAGCAGCAAAAAUAUAUACCUUGCUUUGUUUUAUUUUCUAAUUCGUUGCUCAGAUCGAUGGUUAGAUGGACAUGGUACUUUAGCUCCGGAAUUCUAAGCUUGCAUAUUUCUGAAUUCUAGGUCUGCACCGGUAUCAUGAGUUAAUCAGAUGCGUGUCACCAGCUAUAGUGAUGAUAUUACCAUCAUUUUCCUGCAGAGAGAGCACUGCCUGCUACAAUCAAACUAUAGUUGCAUUAUCCUGUGCCAAUCAGUUUACAAAAAAAUAAAUUGUCCUCUCAAACUAAUGUGUUGUCUUAUUUUCUCACUUUGGCUGGUACAGUGAUACCAAUCUAAUUGCAGUCGAGGGGAUAUGUGAUAACUUGAAACUGAGCACAGAACGUUCUUUCUUGGUUUGCAUUUGGUGUAACCCCCCUUGAUUGUUCUUUUUCCUCUGUCUUAUAAUCCUCUGAUUGUCAAUCCAGUCAUAUAUUGAUGAUGUAUUGAUCAUUGGUUAUCAGAAGUUUUCUACACAUUGCUGCUGGGUAGAGCAUCUAUUGCAACUACAAUUGGCGAUAUCUACACAGAUCUAUACAUAAAAGAUAAGUAGGAAGUAAGCUUCUAUAGUGUGACGUAGAGGUAUUGGCCAUACACCAUGAAUGAUAGAGGCUGUGCAGCUGAUAUUCAUAGUUUAAUUACUUUUUCCUCCAAAGAGAUACAUAUUUUUAGCUAUAAUGUGUUAGCUUGCUGACAGUACAUCGAUAUAUUCUCCAAUCUGGUUCAACUAUGCCUAUACUCUUUAGUUUUAUGUUGAUGUUUACACUCUUUCUUCUGGUCUGGAGUCUUGUAUUUUUUUUCUGAGGUGUGUACUUCACUUUUAUGUUGUAUACACAAGUAUUUUCAGAUAAAUAAAAGCAAGAACAUUAGAGAGCAUGCAGGGCCCUGAAUUUGGAGAAUCUAGGCGUAUAUCUGUACAAUAUUAUUGAGGUUGGUUGAUACAUGUAUGCACAUUUUUCAGAGCAACGUGCAGUGGAAGAAGCAGCCUGUGAACUGAAAUAGUUUGCAUUGGAAACAAGUGCUGUGAAAUACAAGGAUUUCAUCAAUUGCCUAUUAGAAGACCUAUUAAAAAGUAAUGAUUAUUUUUGUAAAUCAAGGAUGAAAAGAAGACAACUGAUGUGCAAGGACGUGCAGGUACUCAGCCACCUAGUGCGCAUGGAUGUGAUGACUUCGUAGUCUUAUGUAGCAUUUGGCCGUUUGUAGUAUUUCGGACUAGCCAACUUGUAAUCAUGAAUCUUAUGUGCGUUCUGGACCAUUUGGUGCUUCAAGUGUUCUGGAGUAGAAAUCUUGUGGUCAUGGAUGUGACUUUUAAGCCUUUUGGACCAUUUCGUGUUUCAACUCUUUUAGAAUAACAAAUAGUGGUCCUUUUAUGUGGCUUGUGUUUCUGGAUGGUGGUCAAGAUGGCCAAACUUUGCUUUGUCAAUGUUGUCUUGUUUUUGAACUUGUGAUCAAUGUAUAUGUAUGUUUGUGAA
Long non-coding RNA from Triticum aestivum (bread wheat), 1687 nucleotides. RefSeq lists it as uncharacterized. Lineage: Eukaryota; Viridiplantae; Streptophyta; Magnoliopsida; Poales; Poaceae. The transcript has 4 exons. The record is from RefSeq and is a predicted model, not a curated record.